UACGGAGGAUCCGAGCGUUAUCCGGAAUCAUUGGGUUUAAAGGGUCCGUAGGCGGGUUGAUAAGUCAGUGGUGAAAGUCUGCAGCUUAACUGUAGAAUUGCCAUUGAAACUGUUAAUCUUGAGUAAUUAUGAAGUGGUUAGAAUAUGUAGUGUAGCGGUGAAAUGCAUAGAUAUUACAUAGAAUACCGAUUGCGAAGGCAGAUCACUAAUAAUUUACUGACGCUGAGGGACGAAAGCGUGGGUAGCAAACAGG
This 253-nucleotide unclassified non-coding RNA is filed under the name uncultured Flavobacteriaceae bacterium. RNAcentral describes it as "contains 16S-23S intergenic spacer region". It matches the Rfam family "Bacterial small subunit ribosomal RNA", at positions 524 to 776 of the family's 1533-position model. Lineage: Bacteria; Pseudomonadati; Bacteroidota; Flavobacteriia; Flavobacteriales; Flavobacteriaceae. The record is from RNAcentral.